Esox lucius (northern pike) is the source of this 4426-nucleotide RNA transcript. It is a transcript of the gene named metal transporter CNNM1, with no coding region annotated. Lineage: Eukaryota; Metazoa; Chordata; Actinopteri; Esociformes; Esocidae. The record is from RefSeq and is a predicted model, not a curated record. The transcript is spliced from 11 exons.
AACAUCCUGCCAUGUGAUGUUAUGGGAAUAACAGUCAGACUGGCUAUCAGGGAGGAAGUUGUUUCUGUAACGGCUGUAAGCCCAGCAAACCAAAACAGAUAUCUUUCAAGGAAUGUUUCAGGAAGUUAAGCUAUAGCCUAGGCUGCUAGUCUGUGCGGGUGGGGACGAUAGGCCUGUGGGCGUAUGAUAAGGAAUCGGAUAAUUAAGUAAUUGCAUUUACCAUAUUUCCAACUAGCCCAUUAUGAGGGCUGGGGAGAGGCACUCUGGAUUGGAUAUUUCCUGUGUCUUAUUUUUGAAGUGGCUCCGUACAGCUCGGCGGUUUGGCAUGCGUAGACAGCAUCAGCGGGCAUUACGUCACUUCACGGUAAAUUCUCUAGCCCUCCGCAUGGUACAGUAAAAUAUUGUUGGCAUCAACAAUAACAAACACGAGGCUGCCGUAGAGAACUGGGAUGUGUUAGCUGUAGAGGCACGGAUCCCUGGUCCCCCACUCACCGCCAGCAGAUGGAGCGUGAGUCUUAACCCCCUACUUCCACGUGACUUGGUUGGUUCGUCCAGACCGAGCGUCUCACUCCGCAUCAUGGCUGCGGAAGAUGCGGCCACUCGGUCCCAAACCAUCCACCUAUUCCCACGGCUACCCCUUUAUCCCGCUCGGUUGCUUCUCUUCUCCGUCUUCUACCUUUGCCUCACUCCCUCUCCGUCCUUCGCCUUACUGGGAUUCCGCCCGGAGGAGACUGGUGGAGAGCUGUCCGUGGAUGCCGGGGUCCUGAAAGCCACCGAGGGAACCCGCUUCAUGCUACGGGUCUACUAUUCCUUAUCCCAACAGAGGCUUAAUCGGACCGCCGGAGCCAGGGCCAACGCGGCUCCAUGGAUAGCAUUCAUCGAGGAGCCGAGUCCGGGGAGAGAGGGGCAGGUCCACCCGAAACGAAAUAUGUGCAUGGAUAAAAACGCCAGGACAUCCGACAUUGAGAUCUUGGGCUCUUUUAAAUCCGCUUCUAGCCAGAAUUCUGUGUUGGUGGAAGUAUUGGCAAAAGACCUACGCAGAGGAGAGAAGAUUAAGUACUAUUCGAUGUGCGCCUUCGACGGGUCCAAAUGGGAACAUUACCGGACUAAGGAUUUCUGGGUGGCUGUGGUGGAGCGAGGGGCAGAACCGGACCUCUGGCUCCAGGUGUUAGUAUCGGUUCUGUUGCUCGCACUCUCUGCACUUUUCAGCGGGCUUAACCUCAGCCUACUGGCACUGGACCCAGUGGAGCUUCAGGUCCUGCAGAACAGCGGUACGGACAAGGAGCAGAAAUACGCGCGGAAAAUCGAGUCAGUUCGACGGCAUGGAAACUACGUCCUUUGCACGUUGCUGCUGGGCAACGCGCUGAUCAAUGCGGCGCUUGCCGUGUGGAUGUGCCAGAUACUUGGGAUGACCUGGCUUUCCACGGUCAUCUGUGCGUUUGGGAUAUUUUUCAUUGGGGAAAUCCUGCCGCACUCUGUUGCGUCGCGGCACGGCUUGGCCAUCGCGUCGAAAACAAUCUGGGUAACUCGUCUUCUCAUGGUUCUCUCUUUUCCUAUCUCGUACCCGAUCAGCAAACUACUAGACUUCAUCCUUCACCAGGAGAUCAGUAACUUUUACACCAGGGAAAAACUCCUCGAGAUGUUGCGCGUGACCGACCCGUACCACGACCUGGUCAAAGAAGAGCUCAACAUCAUUCAGGGUGCGCUCGAGCUCCGGACCAAAACGGUUGAAGACGUUCUCACGCCGUUGACAGACUGCUUCAUGCUCACCUCAGAAGCGGUACUGGACUUCAACACCAUGUCGGAGAUUAUGCAGAGCGGCUACACGCGCAUCCCGGUGUUCGAGAACGAGCGGUCGAACAUUGUGGAUAUUUUGUUCGUGAAGGACCUGGCUUUUGUUGACCCAGACGACUGUACCCAUCUAAAAACCAUAACCCAGUUCUACAAACACCCCAUGCACUGCGUGUUCAACGACACGAAACUUGACGCCAUGCUGGAGGAAUUCAAAAAGGGCAAGUCCCAUCUGGCCAUCGUCCAGAGGGUAAACAACGAGGGCGAGGGUGACCCCUUCUAUGAGGUCAUGGGCAUCGUGACCCUGGAGGACGUUAUCGAAGAGAUCAUUAAGUCGGAGAUACUGGACGAGACGGAUCUCUAUACUGACAAUCGCUCUAAACGUCGCGUGUCUCACCAUGAGAGGAAGCAGCAGGACUUCUCCAUCUUUAAACUGUCUGAGAACGAGUUGAAGGUGAAGAUCUCACCACAGCUUCUCCUCGCUACGCACCGCUUCCUGUCCACAGAGGUGGAGCCCUUUAAGCCGGUCCACCUAUCAGAGAAAAUCUUACUACGCCUCAUCAAACACCCCAGUGUGGUCCAGGAGCUCAGCUACGACGAGAAGAACAAGCUUGCCCCACAACACUUCCUGAUCCAGAGAAACAAACCCGUCGACUACUUCAUCUUGGUCCUACAGGGUCGUGUUGAGGUGGAGUUCGGAAAAGAGGCCCUGAGGUUUGAGAAUGGAGCGUUUGCCUACUACGGAGUUCCUGCCAUCAUGCCCACAGUCCACAGAUCCCCCUCUCGUAGCAGUGGUCUGGACCGCUCUGAAUCUAUGCUGUGUGGGGGCAGUCUGGGCCAGCUCAAUGGAGGGGGGAGUGUCUACCUGCCUGACUACUCAGUCAGACAGCUAACUCACCUGCAGAUCAUCAAGAUCACUCGUAGCCACUACCAGAAUGCCCUGACAGCGACCAGGAUGGACAGCUCCCCCCAGACUCCCGACACAGAUGCCCGACCUACCGACGGGAAUACCCCUGACCCUCCCGUCCCGGACCACCUCCUGCCCCCCAGGGACACCCGACCCAGCUCGGCCAGAACCAGGGGACAGCAAUCCUCGCUCCCGCACAGCACCUCACUGCUCAACGAGAAGAACCGCAUCGUCCGCAGUAAGUCUGACGGCCAGAAGAGCCCCAGCGACUCGGUGUUCCUUCGGAUGGAUGAGAUCCCCUACAUCAGGGAGGACCACUCGGAGACGGACGGCGCUAAUGACACAGCCUCUGUCGCUAUAGAAACAGACGCCCCCUCCUCCAUCAUCAGUAGUCUGUCUCUGAGCGGAUCGGAGGACACGCUGGGAAAGAAACUGCUGCUCAAACUCAGUCACAAGAAGAGGAAAAAGUCCAGAGAAGGAGACAAGACCCCUGAGGACACAUCGGAGCAACCAUUGGUCAAGACCUAGCUGGGGCUCAGCCAAUCAUCAACAGACUAUCCACAGUAUAUCCUUCUUUUAUUUUACCAUUUAAAUUGUUUCUACGUUCAUCAAGUCAGCGGUUGACAAAACACAGACUGACACAGUGCCUGUAAGGACACAGAAGAGAUGGCCUCCCCUCCCCUUAAAGAUCUUAGUCGGGACUUUCGGGGGCAACAUAACAUAACCCAAUAGGCUGGAAGCUACCAUAUCGAGGAACAGGGGCAAUUUUCUUCAGGAUUGUUUUGUUUCAACUAUGGCUGUAUAGUUUUUAGCUACUAAGAGGUAAAUGGAUUUAGUCCCAGUAGAUGGGAAGAUGAGGAAUGUAGAACAAGAAGAGGAGCUUUAGUGCAUUCAGCUCCUUCCUAGUUUUUAUUUUUGAACUGGCUCGGCAGGAGCUAAACAUCUGAAAACUAAGGUCUCUAAAUGAAACCAAAGACAGACUAUUUUCAUACUGUUCACUUACUGCACCAAAACAAUUAUCAUAUUCACAAUGCUCACUUGCCCAGACCCACUCAUGGCCUUUAAAGCCUUGUUGGAAGCUGUGUCAAUUUAUAUAAGGAUUAGGAAUGUAUUUUACUUUCUAUUCCCUUCCCUGUCUGUUGUCAAAGCGGCGAGUCCCAGCUAGCAUUUUGAGGAAACAUUUCAGUUAUUUGUGCGUUUUCAGAAUUACUGAUCAAUUCACCAUUUAUUAGCAUGGGAUAAACCUAUAACAGUCUACAGGUUUAAAAAGGGAUUGAAGAUGUGCUUUGAACGUCUUUCUGAGUUGUGUUGACGAUCUUGGAUUUGGGAGACAUCCGUGCCAAACCGUUCAACGUGUCAGGGCGAGCUCGCCCUCCAGGUGACCCCGGGUAGCUUGCGCGUGAUCCGUGCCGGCCUGAGGGAGGCCAGGAAGUCCCUGCCGAUGAUGUCGUCUAAAUAGCAUCACCCACGGGGCACGAGAACCAGAUGUCGGGCGGUCAGGUUAGGGCUACGGAAGCGCCUUUGGUCACUGAGCCAGCUGACUGAUUAUGCAAGAAUUUCAUUACGGCCUAGCUGAGAUUAGUGAAACACAAAUCUGUUCUUGACGUUUUUUCCAUCUGAACGUCCUGCACCACUGCAAGCCCUGUAGGAUCAUGGGAUGCGCGCCCGUCUCUAGCUUGUUUCGUGCAGAUUCAGGUUUGUGCCACCGCACCGUGGGAGGGGGGUGAG